AAGCCAACAUCUGUGGAUUUCGACAGGC
RNAcentral lists this non-coding RNA (28 nucleotides) under Rattus norvegicus (Norway rat). Lineage: Eukaryota; Metazoa; Chordata; Mammalia; Rodentia; Muridae. The record is from RNAcentral.